Molecule: long non-coding RNA, 5810 nt
Organism: Gadus chalcogrammus (walleye pollock)
Lineage: Eukaryota; Metazoa; Chordata; Actinopteri; Gadiformes; Gadidae
Exons: 9
Source: RefSeq, a predicted model, not a curated record
CGUACUCACAGAGCUUUCCCGCAACUCCAGAACUAUUCUUCAACGCUGAUCCUGCCUGAUUCCGACCUCUCGCUUGGCUGACCAACCGCCUGUCGUCGAGUCCCUGCCGGCCUGUCUGCUUCCCUGUUUCCUGCUCCUCGUCUGCCUGUCUGCCCUCCCGUUGCCAACCCCUUGCCUGCUUGCUCCUUGUCUUGUUCCGGGCCGUUCAGGAUGCUGCCAAGGUACGGUGGCAAUGGAGACGGUAUCGUGUGGCAACAUCGCCCUCUUCUGGUGUGUUUCACUUGAGAGGGAACCGGACAGUAGCCUACCUUGGAGUCCUUCACUGUUUGGCAGUGUAGCGUCUCCCAAACGCGGUCUAUCAUGGAUAUUUAACUGCAGUUCUGUGAGUAUCCCAACUUAACCUUGAAGAACUGCAAACUGUAAGUCAUUAAUUUCUAAUUUCUCUUGGGCACAUUGAUGUAUUUUGGCUUCCUGGUGAGUUAACCCGUUAUCUGAAGGUUGAUCUGAGUAGUAAGGAUGUUUUAUUGGUUCCUGGGUUACUUAAGUGUUUGGUUUAUGUUGGUUUUAAUGAUUUGUUAAAAUGGUUUCAGGCUCCAAGUUAUUGUUGUAAGCUAGAAUAAUGGGUUGGGUUCUGAUAUCUUCAGUCUUCUUUCCAGCUACUCUCCUGAGCUCUGCAUCUUCGUCCAAUGAGUGUUGCUUUACUGAUGAGGUUGUGGUCUGAGUGAGCAGAGGUGCAUACUGGGAUACAGAGCUGUCUGAAGACAACAGGUCUGUAGACACACCCCUUCAGGGGAAACCGAGUGUUUGAGAAACCGUUGUGACGUCAGUUACAUGGACUAGACGGUUCUUUAAAAUGGAGACGGGGAUUCAGAAGGAGAAACACCAGGGGGAGAUGAGGGGGCUCCUUAUCUCAACGACUAAAACACAACUUCAGUCUGACACAGAGAACCAUGGAACACAUUCAACAGUCUCCUCCAGGCAUCGUGACUCCUCAGGAACCGUUUCAUUUGGGGUCAUUCCAAAAUGGAUCCUGCUCCUCAAGAGCCACCCCCCCAUCCACUGGGUGGUCUUCUGAACAGAUGACCUCCUUCCUGUCCUCAGGCUGACUAAAGCUGCACCGUUUGCAUCUGUGAAGGCCCUUCAUUCAGGAAACCACUGGACUACAAAGACAUGUCUUCAGAGACGUUGAAUCAACCCGACUCACAUUUUGGAGACGCCAAGCAUAAUCCAUCACCAAUGUGGGACGCCGCUGAAUAAAUAUUGUACAUCAUGUACGUCUCUGGAGACAUUGGUUGUUCUCCUCAAGAGCCACCCCCCUCCACUGGGUGGUCUUCUGAACAGAUGACCUCCUUCCUGUCCUCAGGCUGACUAAAGCUGCACCGUUUGCAUCUGUGAAGGCCCUUCAUUCAGGAGACCACUGGACUACAAAGACAUGACUUCAGAGACGUUGAGUCAACCCGACUCACAUUUUGGAGACGCCAAGCAUAAUCCAUCACCAAUGUGGGACGCCACUGAAUAAAUAUUGUACAUCAUGUACGUCUCUGGAGACAUUGGUUGUUCUCCUCAAGAGCCACCCCCCUCCACUGGGUGGUCUUCUGAACAGAUGACCUCCUUCCUGUCCUCAGGCUGACUAAAGCUGCACCGUUUGCAUCUGUGAAGGCCCUUCAUUCAGGAGACCACUGGACUACAAAGACAUGACUUCAGAGACGUUGAGUCAACCCGACUCACAUUUUGGAGACGCCAAGCAUAAUCCAUCACCAAUGUGGGACGCCACUGAAUAAAUAUUGUACAUCAUGUAGGUCUCUGGAGACAUUGGUUGUUCUGUUCUGGGUGCCCUGGCAGGAGAGCUGGGGGUGGAUGAUGGAAUGUUAUUUGGCAUGAGGUUUUUACCCUGCAGGAUUGUUUGGCCUUUUAUAGCUCAGGGUGUAUGUGUUUGGUUUUGACAUGAGAUGGUUGAAUUUUGAGCAUGGCUAGGGUUCUACUGUGUGUGUCUCCCUCUCACACCGGGCAUGGGGUUCUACGUGCGUGUCCUGGGUUCUAUGUGUGUGUCCGGCUUGCUUUGACGGUGAUAAAGUUCAUACGGCGGUCUGUGUGAUUGGCUUGGGAUAUUGGAAUGGUCAAAUAAAUCAUGCCUGAUUGACGGCCCCGCGUUUACUUAAGGGCCUCCAGUAGACAUGAAGAGCCCUGAGUGACGCUCCGGAGCGAUAUCCAACACACUGGGCAGGAAGGAGAGUAUCCAAAUCAAGUGUAAAAGGAUGCAAGCGGCGUGUUCAGAUCAGUGACUUCAACUAGGACUACACCAAUCAGGAUCAAUGGAGGAUGAACGCCUAAAGGAAUUCCACAAGGAGAGUCUGAAGUUGGAAAGGGACCUCAAUGGAUAUUCAAGAUGACCUGUAGUGAGGCAUCUCUUCCUACCUGGCUGGAUUGAUGGGGAGCCCUGUGGAUCUUGUCUUGCUCUCAGUUGCACGUCUUCUCAGGCUGAACUGUAUUUGUUUCGGACAGGACUAGCUGAACGAUUGGUUCCCUUAAAUCGGAACCAAUCUGGGAACUCCAACUAGUGCGCUCUUUGAGCUGAAGUUGUGCUCUUCAGCUGCGGACGUAAGGAAACCUUCAUUGGGGAUUCAAGGUGUAAAGAGGAGAAUGUUUCAAAGUGUUCCAUGGUACCCUGAUGAAGACCGUUGUUGUGUUCCACUGGCUGAGAGGAAGAACCCUCACAUCUUCCUCUUGGCCUUUCUCCUCUGAGUAUCCUGGCGCCAUCUUGAAGGAUAUUCCAGCUCAUGUAACUGAUUGUCACGACAGAUUCUCAAACACUUGGUUUUUCCUGAGGGGCGUGUCUAUAGAACUGAAGACUUCAGACAGCAAUGUAACCCAGCAUGCAUCUCUGCUCACUCAGACCACACCCCCAUGAGUAGGAUGCAACACUCUAGUGAAGGAGAUGUUGAGUUUUAGAAGUAACGAGGGAGCAGACAAAGGUGAUUAGAACACAAUGGCGUGUCAAGUUUGUAAAUCUUUAAACCAUGAAGAUUGUUGGAUAGUUCAGGAAUUGGGGUUCUUUUUAUUUUGGGCAGUCCUUUCACUCAGAUGCCCACUUCUCACUGGAGCUGUACAUGUGUUGGCUGGCUGGCAUGAUUUGCUGUUGGUGAUGAGGCGGUCAGGGCGCCGUUGCAGGGCUAGGGUCGGCUCUCUGUGAGCUCAACGUUUAGAUUUGCUCUGUAUGGUUUUUACCCUGAAUAAUCUAGAUAAUUGUAAAAUGUAGACACGGUUUUGUAUUGAAUGAUUCCAGGAUUUUAGCUUUAAAAUUGUUGUGGGACGUACAUGGUAGUUGGGUUCUUUGUACGGUUUUGAGUGAUAACUUGUACACACUGGGUGCAUAAUAAUGUAAAGGUACACUGAAUAGUAGUAAUGACCAACAGCAACAAACAGAUCUCCUCAAGGUAAGUCUGUUGGCUGUAUUUUAAUGAAGACCAUCGCUGGACUUCAGGAUCUUCCUCCGUUCAGCUCAAGGUGAGGCGCUGGUUACGUUUUUUCUUUGGUUGGUUCCGGCUGGAAUGUUCGGAUUCCAGUCGGACGGUUUGCACUUCCCGCCGUGGAAGGUUCUUAGUGCGGUCACUUGAUUUAGUCCCAAUGGUUAGCAUCGUACGUUGUAGUCUUGACAACCAUAAGAAACCACCUGGCAGUUAGUUGGACGGGAGUCCCCUGAGGGAAUCUGGCGAACGUUCUGGAUUCUAUUUGCGUAACCUCGAGCCGUUGCCAACAAACUAUUUUUUUCCGUCGUUUCCAUUGGGAAUUGUUGACCCUUAUCUUAAACAACUUUAAGUUUGAUGUCAAAUACAUACUGACACGUACGUCGUACAAUAUGUUGAUAAUUUCCGAUGGUUGCGCCGUACUUUUAACCACGAUGACGUGACGGGACUCUCACUGCGUACAAAACGGCGUUCUACUUGCGGGCCCAUUUUUGACAUCAGUGAAGGCUGAAAAUCAUUUCAAGGUGGAAGAUAAUUUGACAUUUCUUCAACGGAACCCAGCACCUGAAUAUGAGUAUAUUUGAUUUAAUAUCGAUACUGCUUAGUGUUGACUUCAAAAGCUGAAGUUACUUCAGCUUUUGUACAUUCUAAAUAUCUGCUGUCAUUAAUUACCACAGAAGUUAAACCCUACCCAAUGGAAUGACGUUAAACAACGACUUUGGUGCAGAGUUAGCAACUGGAUAAUAUCAAAGCUAAAAGAAUGGCCGUCCUUCCCACAUGUUACAGUUGAAGAUACUCUAGAAUUGUACAAGGUUAAAAAGGUAACAUGUAGUUUGUCCCAAGGUGUCUGCCUCCUCACCCAGAGCAAGACCUCCACUUCCUCACCCAGAGCCAGACCUCCUCCUCCUGUCAGAAGUCCUCCAGAACAGCUGAAAGGCGAGGCUGAGAGGCUGGGGACCGGAGGCUUGUGGUGCUAGGGUGGACCGGAGACUGAGGCUGGAGACCAGGGGCCUGCAGCACCGGACCAGAGGGUAACCUCAGAUGCAGGAGGUGGGGUGAGUUGCGUCCCUAGGUGAUUUACUGCUGAGACAACUGUGUUGUAACCAGACCAGGAAUCCAUGUCUGGAGGAGCUAUGCUGAUGGAGGAGCCGUGCUGAAGGAGCUGAUGGAGUCGUGGUGAAGGGACUGCCUGGUGGAGGAGCUGGUGGAGGCCCUGCCUGGUGAAGGACGUCUGUCGUGGGACCAGGACUCAGUCUGAAGAGAGCUGCUGGAGGCGCUGAGACGCUGGAGGACGACUAGGAAUCAACCAACAAGGAUUCCUCAACGUGUGUCUGGAGCGGAGGCGAGCUGGUAGGAGAGCCGUGAAUCUGGAGGAUGACCAUCACUCUACCAACAAGCAUUGCAAGUUUGUAUUAACCAAACAAACUGGAAAUAAAGAGCUUAAAAAUAAGACUAACUACAUGUUUGUUACCAGACGCUAGGGCCAGACUCGCGCUGUUUGUUCCAGACCAGGACUCUGGCUGAGGAGAGCUGAUGGAGAAGCCAAGACUCUGGAGGACGACAUCACUCUACCAACCAGGAUCCUCAGACAAAUUACGUUUGUAACCAGACCAGGAAUCUGGAGGACUGAUGGAGAAGCCGUUCAUCUGGAAGGCAAAUCCUGAGGACAACCAGGACUCUACCAUCAAGGAUUCCUCACCCACCUGAGCUGAACCUCACCCGAUCCUGUUUGGUCGGGGGUAGACACACCUGAGCUGAACGCGCCCUGAUCCUGACAUCCUGCUGGUCCCGUCUCCUCCCGACAUGCUGAGCUCAGCGGUCUGAGGCUGACGGAUCAAUGACCUCCAGUGGGAGUGAUCUUCUUGACCCCACAUGUAACUGCGUGCUUCCACACGCCUUUCCCUCACGUCUGUCACUAACCUCACUAUUUCACUACUCUCUACUGCUUCCUCUUCUUCUUCCUUCUCUGUGGUUCGAACCUUUACACUGAAGGCGCGUCUUCCUGCCCUCAGAGGGUUCAGCGUUAGGGUUGAGAGUCAGGGUUUAGAGUCAGGGACAGAACUGGUCAGGGAGGACUGCUUUACACAAACCUCUUCACUUGCUUUCGGAAUGGUGGUGACAUUUUGAAAAGAUUCAUUUGGGAAAAUGUUUUCCUCUGCUUUCCUUACAAAAUUGUAUUAAACUUCUGUCAAGUGUUUUUGUUUGUAUAUUAAAAUCCCACAUUGACUUUUACAUGUUUGGUGCGGUUCAUUUAAUUGUCCUUUAACUUGGUUAAUGUCAAGCUAAACUCCUGCAAUACAUUUAAUAUGCAUGAUUGUUAUUCAGCAAUAACACAUACGUUUCCAA